UGUCAAAUGUCAAACUUAAAUUUCCCCGUCAUGUUUUAUCUUGAAAUUUAAACGUAUACAAAGAUUAACGAUGAAGAAGUGCUGAUGAUUCCGAGGAAAUCGAACAAUAUGAGGUUGCUCAAUAUUGAGAAAGCACCGACAGUACUAAGAGUUACAAAAAUAAGCAGCUGAAGCAGUGAAACAUUCAUGGAGUCUAAAAGGAGCAACUGAAGAGGUUUGGAGAUGUGUCCUAGCCUCCUCAAGCAAGUAAUGUCAUCAUGUGUAACUCUUUUUGUGGGGAUAUUUGAAUGAUAAAAUAUAUCAACACAAAACCCUUGAUAAGCAUAACUUGAAGGCAGCGAUUCGUAGAGAGAUGAAAUUGAUCAUAGAACUGUAACAAGUGUGAUGGAGCUUUAAGGACAAAUUAAAGAUUACACAAAGCUCAUCGAUUGCGUUCAAAGGCACAAUCUCUGGAUGAAAUGGGAGUACCAAGACACUUCAUAACCAUCAUCAACAAUCUCUGUAGAAGAGAAUGUCAGGUAAGGGUGCAUACUCAGUCCAACAUCUAUGGCGAGUGGACCAUGAGAAAGUCUUGGAAGACUGGAAUAUCACCCUGAUUGGGGCAUCAGAAGAGGAACUAAAUGAACUUUAACGAAGAAGGCUCCAGCGGAGAGAUUAACAGGGGAAGCCAGCUAGCCACACUAAAGAACAUAUGAAGAAGUCAUGCAAUCUCUUUGACAAUGAAAAUGAGGCAGGUAAGGAGUCUAGUGCAAAAGAUGUUUUGCUGGUGCAGAAUUCUAAGAAUUCCGUGGACACCGAGGAGAACUAACGAGUCACUACAACUGAAACCAAGAAAAAAGAUGCAAGCAUGGUGGAGGAAAACAUUGCAACAUUUUUUGGACAUGUGGUGAAGAAAUGGUCUCGACCUUAUCAUAAACAACAUUACGACACAAAGUUUGGCGCGCACAUUUAAGAUGGCUAAGAACAGGAAUGAAUGGAAAAAUGCUCUGGAGAGCAACUCUUAAAAACACGAUUCUCGAAUAAAAGAUUUCAAUUGAGAAGAUUGUAGGUGAGUUAUUGAUACAUUCAUUUCACUUUGAUUUCAAUGUCAAAUAGUCGUUUUUUUCGACAUUGUAUCACUUUAAUUUCAUCCGACAAUACAAUAAGAAUUGAACUAUUACUUUAGAAUUAUAAACCUUUGUACAUACGUAGAGCUUGACACACCCAAGAGCAUUUUAAAUGCAUAUAAUUAGCCUUGCUGUAUAUAUAGUAUUAUCUUGCUGUUUCAAUUCUAUAGUGGGAACAUAUUUAACCAGGUAUUAAGAGUUGCGUGUCUAUACGACAUAAUUUUCGGCCACUGUGGUUUGUAUGAAUCCACGUGUGUAACGCCCAAAUAUAUUUAUCUCUAAAUUUCUGCGUUAAAUAUUGUUUGUUUUAAGAGAAUUGAAUUGUAGAAUUACUAUUAUUAAAGCUUAAAAUAUAACAGAAAAAUAGAAAGAUAAACACAUUAUUAUACUUAGAUUAAUGCUUAGAUUGUACUUUCAAUUCAAGUUCUAUAUGAGUUAUUUUUUCAUAAACAUAACUUUUUAAGUUAACAUAAAAGCUUAAAAUGAAUCAAUAACUUCUUUUGACUCAAAAAAAAGUCAUUACAACACUUAAAACCAACAAGAUAAAUGUUUGUAAAGGUAACUUCACGGCGACUGGCAGCACUUAACCCUCGUGACAAACCAAUUGGGACGCUGAUACAUCGGUCCGGUUGCGCACAUAAACAAACGUCGCGAACAUAACUCUUAUCGAGAUUAAUUUAAUGUAAACCCGGUGCUUUGGGUUUCCGUGGAAUGCCGCGGCGGCAACACCAUGCUUUGUACAGCGCGAUGGCGGCCAAAUGAGAG
Molecule: long non-coding RNA, 1871 nt
Filed under: Onthophagus taurus
Lineage: Eukaryota; Metazoa; Arthropoda; Insecta; Coleoptera; Scarabaeidae
Description: uncharacterized LOC111424616
Source: RNAcentral